UCAGAUAGCCCAUCACUGUCCAUUGAGUCAGGAAUAUCGGUGGUCAGGAAACUACUACAAUCACGCAAAGAGUCAGAACAACGGACGCAAUGUUUAGUAGUUAAUUCAACCGUAGAUAAUGGUAAUCAGGGCUUCAGAUUUCACAGGCCAGGUGUGUUGCAGACUCCCAUUCAAGCAGUCUGCUUCAGGAUCCAGGAAAAAUCACGGAUUGUCUGGUAUCAUGACAACCAGACUGGCGAGCUAACCAAUUAGCGGAUCACAGGAAUACCACAUCAUCUUCCUAUCAAGAAACUCUUCUGAAUUGGUUGGAGAUUCAGCCCAACAAUCUUGGGCUCUGAUGGAACUGGAUUAUUAUUGUUAUUUUUGCUUUUUCCCUUUCAUCAACAAAGACUUGUUGACUUCCUUGGUUUAAGGAACCCUUCUGGACUUGAACUUGUGGACCAACUUGUAUAUAUUGUAAAUAUUAAUACAAUUCACCAAUUUCACACCA
Long non-coding RNA from Poecilia reticulata (guppy), 490 nucleotides. RefSeq lists it as uncharacterized. The record is from RefSeq and is a predicted model, not a curated record. Lineage: Eukaryota; Metazoa; Chordata; Actinopteri; Cyprinodontiformes; Poeciliidae.